This 253-nucleotide ribosomal RNA is filed under the name uncultured bacterium. RNAcentral describes it as "partial 16S ribosomal RNA". It matches the Rfam family "Bacterial small subunit ribosomal RNA", at positions 524 to 776 of the family's 1533-position model. The record is from RNAcentral.
UACGUAGGGAGCGAGCGUUGUUCGGAGUUACUGGGCGUAAAGGGCGCGUAGGCGGUUGCUUAAGUCUGGUGUGAAAUCUCCCGGCUCAACCGGGAGGGUGCGCCGAAUACUGAGUGACUAGAGUGCGGGAGAGGAAAGUGGAAUUCCUGGUGUAGCGGUGAAAUGCGUAGAUAUCAGGAGGAACACCGGUGGUGUAGACGGCUUUCUGGACCGUAACUGACGCUGAGACACGAAAGCGUGGGUAGCAAACAGG